RNAcentral lists this long non-coding RNA (284 nucleotides) under Bos indicus x Bos taurus (hybrid cattle). Its description in RNAcentral is "lncRNA (ENSBIXG00005017818.1)". The record is from RNAcentral. Lineage: Eukaryota; Metazoa; Chordata; Mammalia; Artiodactyla; Bovidae.
CCUUUACACAAUUCUACAGAAAGGGUAUAUUGUGUUGGUGUUUCAGAAAUUCUCCUUUUGUGAUUCUCAUUGGAAGGCUGGAGGUAGCCAAGAGGAUCAGACGUUUCUUCUCUCAGAACCCCAGAAGCUGGCCUGAGGCACUAGCAGUCAUGGUAAAGCUUGGAGACAGACAGAGACCUCCAGGUUGAAGAAUACUGCUGCUGACUUACUGUAAGAGUCAUCAUGUCUGCAGUUAUGGUGCCCAGUUCUUAUCUCUACUUCUCUGAGCAAGGGGGGCCUGUGGG